GCCAGGGAAAGCUCAGCACUGGAGCUCUGGAUAUCCAUCCUGCACAGUGUGGCUUCAAGGAAUGGGGCACUGGAUGGGGAGGAGAGACUAGGCAGAAAGGUCUGCACUCUGCAUUCAAAGGCAUCCACUGCCACUCCACUCCUACUUUCUCCCACAAUGACAUGGCCAGUCAGGUAAGUCACUCUUAUUCUCUUAGGAAUUUUUGCAUUUUUCCCUUCUUCCCACCCCAGCGCCUGCCUCUCAAUCCUGUCUGACCCCACCGCCUCCUGACAGCCCCAGAUUUCUCUGGGUCACCUGAGCAACAGCAAUCCAGUCAAGCAAUGUGCAGGACUGCCCCCCACCCCCAUUCAGUCCAGGUCUCAGGCAUUGGCUGCAUCCGGUACACAGACCAACUGCUUUUGCAAUCUCUUGCACAGCAACAUUUCACUAGCUCAAUAUGUUUCACUAGCGGAGCAAGCACACUGCAAGGUGGCUAACUUAGCUCUGCAAUUGAUACCACCUCUUCUCUGCCUGGAGAGGGCAUUGCUGAAGCCUGAGCACACCGUUUCAGACAGCUCACUUGGCUCAGUGCCAACAACAGGCCAUGAGAUUCAAGCCCUACAGACCCUAGUACAUUGCCAGGUUCAAAACCUGGUCUGUAACACUGUGUUUAUUGCCCCAGCUUUCAUAAAGGGCUAUUCAAACAUAUGCUGACUUGUCAUCCAUGUGAUUUCAGUGAUGCAACUGGCUCAUACUUGCUCCUGCAAAAACCAGAGUGGCCUCUUGAAGCUAUCUGCUGCCCAGCUAGCUGUGCUGCAUAACAGUUCUUCAGCCCUUCAGAAUGUAUCACAUUUGUGAAAUGUGAUUCUAGGCUACUAUAGAAUCAUAGAGUUGGAAGGAAACCUGAGGUCCUGUUUUAGGGUGCAGGUGGAAUUCAAGGAUUGGGGCAUCUUGACCUAAACUAUAUUGUACCUUAAGGAUGCAAGAGGACCUGUCAGGGUGCAGUCACACUGAUAAACCCUGGCAGAUGUGUUCUACCCCCCCUCCACCAGAGGAAGUGAUGCUUCUUGGGUACCAGUUGCAGUCAGGAUGGGCUUCCUAUAUGCAUCAGGUUGGCCAUUGUGAGAACGGGAUGCCUUUGAGCUGAUCCAUCAGGGCUAUUCUUCAAUUCUUACAUUUUUUGAAACAUAUCUCCUCUCCACCACAGCCCUUGUUUUAGAAAGCAGGCAAUCAUCUGGCAACAGGAUGUGACAAGGCUGAAGCUGGCUGAUAAUUCACACUGUUGCCAUCUUCCAUAUACACCCUGCAAACAUCUGCUACCUUCCACCAGGUCCACAGCCCUGCAAUCACCAGCUUUGAUACAUCUCCCUUUCAAGUAGUGCCCAUUCCAUCUUUUUAUCCCAAGAUCAUACAGUCAUAGGAUUCUAGAGUUGGAAGGGACCCUGAGGAUCUCUAGUCCAACCCCACACAAUGCAGGAAUAUGCAGCUGCCCCACAUGAGGACCGAAACCACAUCCUUGGCAUCAUCAGCACCACACUCUAACCAACUGAGCUAUCCAAGAUGCUUGUUUCUGAGGCCAAUGCCUGGUCUGAAUUUACAUUCUAAGUCCCACCCCCCCACCCCCGAACAUGGAGACCAUGUUUAAGUUGGCCAUGAAAAGUCAUGCAAUGAAAAUGAUCUGGGGGCUGGUGCAGCAACUCCCCUAAAGGGGGCAUUUCAGCUUAGAAAAAAAGGUGAGAAAGGAUAGAGGUGCAUAAAAUUAGGCAUGGUGGGGGAACAGACAAACUCUCCCCAUCAUAUUUUUAUUAUUUAAUUCUUAAAUUUAUUAGCUGCCCAUCACCCUAAGGUCCCAGGGUGGGACAUUACAACACAAUAUUUAAAACAGUUUAAAACCACUUACAAUUACAAAAAUAUGGUGGGUCCUAAAAAUAUACACUUCAAGUGUUAAAAGCCAGGGCAAAGAGGUACUAGGACCUCAUGGGAUCAUCCAAGAAAGCAGAAUAUUGGAAGACUUGGGACAGGCAAAAGCAAGUGCUUCUUCACAUAGUUAAACUAUGAUAUUUGUUCCCAUGUGAUGUAGUGAUUGCCAUUGAUUUGGAUGACUUUGAAAUAGGUUUGGACCAAUUUGUGGGAGAUGAGGCUGCAAAUAGUUACUAGUUAUGAUGGCUAUGUUCUGCCUCCACUGUCACGGACAGUACACCUCUGAAUACAAGUUGCUUGGGAUCAAAAGUGGAAAAAGUCUUGUUGAGCUCAAGUCUUGCUCCCGGGCUUCCCAGAAGAGGCACCUGAUUGGCCACCGUGAAAACAGAAUUUUGGACUAGAUGUGCCUUUUGUCUGAUCUGACAGGGAUCUUCAAUUGUUCUUAGAUAUUCAAAGCAGGAGGGUACAGUGGUACCUCAGUUUACAAACUUAAUCUGUUCCAGAAGUCCGUUCUUAAACCAAAGUGUUCUUAAACCAAGGCACGCUUUCCCAUAGAAAGUAAUGGAAAAUUGAUUAAUCCGUUCCAGACAAACCCCUAAAACAGCAAUUUAACAUGAAUUUUACUAUCUAACGAGACCAUUGAUCCAUAAAAUGAAGGCAAUAAUCAAUGUACUGUACUGUAAAAUAAAUAAGACAGUAUUGUAAGAUGAUAAAAAAAAAAUUCCCUUACGUGCACUGAUGAUAGUCAUUGUUUGGGUGGAGGGCAUUUAUCCAUUUCUGCAGUCACACAAUCAACCAGUAGCUGAACUGGGUUCCACACAGUCACAAAAACAAGUCACAAAAACCAAGUAACAAGCCACAGUCACAAGUCAGUCCCAUAAAAUGAAGAACAAGUCACAGUCAAAAAAAUGAAAAAGCCAUGCAAACAAAAACGCAAAUAAUAGCAAAAACAAAAGCUCCAAAUGUCACCUCUGUGUUGUGUGGGUGGUUGGGACUCAACAGCCAACAGACUCAACAGGAAGCCUCUAAUUAGCAGCGGGGGACUCAAUUUACAAACAGAACACACUCAACAGGAAGUGGAACAUGUUCUGCUUCCAAGGCAAAGUUCACAAACCAAAACACCUACUUCCGGGUUUGCAGCAUUCUUUAUCCAAGUUGUUCAUAAACUAAGCUGUUCUUAAACCAAGGUACCACUGUAUAUUCUUUGAGGGAUCUUGCAAAACCAGAUUGCAGGGUAUGUGGGACUCCUCUCUUCCUACCCUGUGGAAGCUCUGUAAGAUUUAUCUUCAUUCCCUCCACUUCUCUUCGUUUUCAGUCAUGCUGAGAAUACCUGAUAAUGAAGUUUGUGGGGUUUGAAUUUUAUUUGUUUAAUGACACCAAUAGUAUGAAUUUGCCUCCAGCACAACUUUGCUUCCUUCUGGUGGCUGUUCUCCUUUAUCGCUAACAAACUUGCACCUGAAAAGCUUCAGACCAUUCUGCCUACCCCCUCCCCAAAUCCAUGCUCUUAACCUGAAGUUAAUGUUUUAAUGCUUGAUGUUUUUAUAUUUGUUGGAAGCCACCUAGAGUGGCGGGGGCAACUCAGUCAGAUGGGUGGGGUACAAAUAAUAAAAUUUAAAAAUAAUUAUUAUUAAGAUCCUUCUUGCUUUGCUUGCUUCCGGGCUUGAUGCCCAAACCAACAAGAAAGAGCUGAUACCAGUGUUGAGUAAGGUUACCAGACGUUCCCGUUUCCCAGGGACAGUCCCCAGAUUUACAAACCAGUCCCCAUUGAAGCUGAAAAGUGUCCCCGGGUUCAUUGAAAAAGAUCUGGUAACAUAAGUGUUGAGGGCAGCUGAAAAGAAAGUGGAAAGCCUUCACCACCAUGUCCUCUUUUUGUUGCCUUAUUGCAACAAGGGAACAAAUCUUCUGCCCUGGGAUCUAGUUCAGGAUCUUUUCAGUUGCCUUCAAUAUAUGAGGAACUGUCAGGAGAGGCUCAGCUGAUUUCCCACCCUCAUGCACUCCUGGCAGCACUAAACUGAACUCUUCUUGGAACAUUAAGCUCCAGGCUUUUUCAAUCACCUGCUCUGCAGGCUGUUCAACCAGUAACGGCCAGUACCCUUCUCUCUGCUCUCCAGUGGCCACACCAGAGAGAGAGGAGCUGCUGCUGCUUCCCUGGUGUCCAGACUGGGCUCCCACAGAGCAGAGAUACAGCCACAGAUUCCCAGCUGCAAAACUGAGCUGGCAAAAUCAGGUAGGAGGGUGUCCUUUAAAAAAGAGAGAGAAUGGGAGGGAGGGAGGGAGGGGGGUUGUGCAGUUUUGUUAUGCCAACUAGCUGGUGGCUUAAAGCGUUUCUCUUUCUCAUCUAAUUUUUCCACCGAGGGAAUCGCAAGGCUGCCUGCCUUUUUCUUAAUGUGCAACGCCUGUCACCGUGGUAAUGCUUUCUUAGUUACAGACUCUCCCUCUUCCCCCUCCCCCUCCCUCUGUUAUAAUUUUAAUUCAGGCAGAUCACUAUGGGGGAGCCGACUAUAAAUAGGUGUUCCAGUAAGCUUUAAGUAACUCGAGCAGAAGAAUACCUCCGAAAGACUAAAGACCAUCUGACAGAAGAGACUGCAGAAAUCAAACCAGGCCUUAAUUAGGAGAGUAAGACUCUCUUUCCUAUUUCAGCCAUGUGAUGCCAGCAAGAAAAAAAAGGAGGAGGAGAAUGGAGCUUAGGAGUUUGUUUGCUCUGCAAUUACAGAUGAAAUUUAAAGAUAUUCCUUGGCCUAAAAAGGCCUCAUUUCAGAAGAGACC
Molecule: long non-coding RNA, 4665 nt
Filed under: Podarcis lilfordi (Lilford's wall lizard)
Lineage: Eukaryota; Metazoa; Chordata; Lepidosauria; Squamata; Lacertidae
Source: RNAcentral